This is an RNA transcript of Camelus dromedarius (Arabian camel), 7231 nucleotides long. It is a transcript of the gene named anaphase promoting complex subunit 1, with no coding region annotated. The record is from RefSeq and is a predicted model, not a curated record. The transcript is spliced from 49 exons. Lineage: Eukaryota; Metazoa; Chordata; Mammalia; Artiodactyla; Camelidae.
GCCAAGAUGGACGCGUCCAUUUGAACGUCUCGCCUGAGUGGCUCUCCUGCACGCCUGCCUGUCGUUAGCAGUCGUGUCCGCAGCUGCUACCCAUUCUUCCUCCGGAUUAGGGGAGGGAGAGGGGAUGAGAAGCUGCAGUGGCUAAGGAGUCAUCGUGACUGACCCCGCCGCUACCCUUGGGCCCCCUCGGCCCCCGCGCCUCCGGGGAGUAGCCGGGGCUCGCCGCGCCUGACGCGUCCCGAGUUACACAGAAAUAAUGUUGAUAUUUGGAACCCAUGUCGAACUUCUAUGAAGAAAGGGCAACAAUGAUUGCAGCCAGGGAUUUGCAGGAAUUUGUUCCUUUUGGUCGAGACCACUGCAAGCACCAUCCUAAUGCUUUGAACCUUCAGCUUCGCCAGCUGCAGCCAGCCUCUGAGUUAUGGUCUUCUGAUGGCGCUGCUGGCUUGGUGGGAUCCCUUCAAGAGGUUACAAUCCACGAGAAACAGAAGGAAAGCUGGCAGUUAAGAAAAGGCGUAAGUGAAAUUGGAGAAGAAGUGGAUUACGAUGAGGAGCUCUAUGUGGCUGGAAAUAUGGUUAUCUGGAGCAAAGGAAGUAAAAGCCAGGCAUUGGCUGUUUAUAAAGCGUUUACAGUUGACAGUCCUGUUCAGCAGGCAUUGUGGUGUGACUUCAUUAUAUCACAGGAUAAGUCUGAAAAGGCCUACAGUAGUGAUGAAGUAGAAAAAUGCAUAUGUAUAUUGCAAAGCUCAUGUAUUAACAUGCAUAGCCUAGAAGGAAAGGAUUACAUAGCUUCUUUGCCUUUUCAGGUAGCAAAUGUUUGGCCCACCAAAUAUGGGUUGUUGUUUGAACGAAGUACUUCUUCACAUGAGGUUCCUCCAGGCCCUCCCAGAGAACCUUUACCCACUAUGUUCAGCAUGCUGCAUCCACUAGAUGAAAUAACACCGCUUGUGUGUAAAUCUGGAAGUCUUUUCGGUUCAUCCCGGGUGCAAUAUGUUGUAGAUCAUGCAAUGAAAAUUGUUUUUCUCAACACUGAUCCCUCCAUUGUAAUGACCUAUGACACUGUUCAAGGUUUGCAUUCUUUGUGGGCUCUUCGGAGAGUCAAAACAGAGGAAGAGAAUGUUGUUUUAAAGUUCUCUGAACAGGGGGGAACGCCACAGAACGUAGCCACCAGCAGCUCCCUCACAGCACACCUCAGAAGCCUGUCCAAGGGAGAGUCCCCCAUGGCUUCACCUUUCCAGAACUACUCCUCCAUCCACAGCCAGAGCCGCUCAGCCUCCUCACCCAGCCUACACUCCCGUUCACCUUCUAUUUCCAACAUGGCAGCUCUCAGUCGUGCUCAUUCUCCUGCCUUAGGAGUGCACUCUUUUUCAGGGGUGCAGAGGUUCAACCUUUCAAGCCAUAAUCAAUCUCCAAAGAGACACAGUAUUUCUCAUUCUCCAACUAGUAAUUCUAAUGGCUCCUUUCUCGCACCAGAAACAGAGCCGAUUGUUCCUGAGCUUUGUAUUGACCAUUUGUGGACAGAAACGAUUGCUAAUAUAAGGGAGAAAAAUUCACAGGCCUCCAAAGUCUUUAUUACAUCUGACUUAUGUGGGCAAAAGUUCUUGUGCUUCUUAGUAGAGUCCCAGCUGCAGUUACGAUGUGUAAAGUUUCAAGAGAGUAAUGAUAAAACCCAGCUCAUCUUUGGCUCCAUCACCAACAUACAGGCAAAGGAUGCAGCGCCAGUGGAGAAGAUAGACACUAUGCUGGUCCUGGAAGGCAGUGGAAACCUGGUGCUGUACACGGGAGUGGUUCGGGUGGGAAAGGUGUUUAUUCCUGGGCUGCCAACUCCUUCCCUGACGAUGUCCAGCACGAUGCCUCGGCCCAGCACUCCGCUGGACAGCAUCAGCACCCCUAACCCUCUGAGGAAGCUGCUUGGGUCCCUGGAUGAGGCUGUUCUGUUGUCCCCAGUUCCAGAACUGAGGGAUUCUUCCAAGCUUCAUGAGUCUCUCUGUAAUGAGGAUUGCACUUUCCAGCAGCUUGGAACGUACAUUCAUUCCAUCAGAGACCCUGUCCACAACAGAGUAACUCUAGAACUGAGUAAUGGCUCCAUGGUUAGGAUCACUAUUCCUGAAAUUGCCACCUCUGAAUUGGUGCAAACAUGUUUGCAAGCAAUUAAGUUUAUCCUGCCAAAAGAAAUAGCUGUUCAGAUGCUUGUCAAGUGGUACAGUGUCCACAGCGCUCCGGGAGGACCCAGUUACCACUCAGAGUGGAAUUUAUUUGUGAUUUGUCUCAUGAACAUGAUGGGUUAUAACACAGACCGCUUAGCCUGGACAAGAAAUUUUGACUUUGAAGGAUCACUUUCCCCAGUCAUUGCACCCAAAAAAGCAAGGCCUUCAGAGACGGGAUCUGAUGAUGACUGGGAGUAUUUGUUAAAUUCAGACUACCACCAGGACGUCGAGUCGCAUCUUUUGAAUCGAUCUUUGUGUUUGAGUCCUUUGGGAGUCCCCCAGGUGAAGGACGAGGACUUCUCGCAGAAUCUGACUGUGGAUUCUUCCACACUUCUCUUCGCUCACAUACCUGCAAUUUUUUUUGUUCUUCACCUUAUCUACGAGGAGCUUAAACUGAAUACUCUGAUGGGAGAAGGAAUUCGUUCACUUGUUGAACUUCUCGUUCAGUUGGCAAGGGACUUAAAAUUGGAGCCUUAUGUAGAUCAUUACUAUAGAGAUUAUCCAACGCUUGUCAGAACUACUGGGCAAGUGUGCACAGUUGAUCAAGGUCAAACAGGAUUUAUGCAUCAUCCAUCAUUUCUUACUUCUGAGCCACCGAGUAUUUAUCAGUGGGUGAGCUCUUGUUUGAAGGGCGAAGGAAUGCCACCCUAUCCUUACCUCCCUGGAAUUUGUGAAAGAAGCAGACUUGUAGUCUUGAGUAUCGCCCUCUACAUACUUGGUGAUGAAAGCUCUGUUUCUGAUGAAUCCUCACAGUAUCUAUCCAGAAUAACUAUAACCCCCCAGAAGUCACAAGCAGAACAAGAGGAGAACAGGUUUAGUUUCAGGCAUUCCACACCAGUUUCGAGUCUAGCUGAGAGAUUAGUUGUCUGGAUGACUAGUGUAGGUUUCACUUUAAGAGACUUGGAAACUCUUCCCUUUGGAAUUGCUCUCCCCAUCAGAGAUGCGAUUUAUCACUGCCGGGAGCAGCCUGCUUCAGACUGGCCAGAAGCUGUCUGUCUCUUGAUUGGACGUCAGGAUCUCUCCAAGCAGGCCUGCGAAGGAAACUUGCCCAAAGGGAAAUCUGUGCUCUCAUCAGAUGUUCCUUCAGGAACAGACACUGAGGAGGAGGAUGAUGGCAUGAAUGACAUGAAUCAGGAGGUGAUGUCAUUAAUAUGGAGUGAAGAUUUAAGGGUGCAGGACGUGCGACGGCUCCUUCAAAGUGCACAUCCUGUGCGUGUCAAUGUGGUGCAGUACCCGGAACUCAGUGACCACGAGUUCAUCGAGGAAAAAGAAAACAGAUUGCUCCAGUUGUGUCAGCGAACUAUGGCUCUUCCUGUAGGACGAGGAAUGUUUACCUUGUUUUCAUAUCAUCCUGUUCCAACGGAACCAUUGCCUAUUCCCAAGUUAAAUUUGACUGGGCGAGCCCCUCCUCGGAACACAACAGUAGACCUGAACAGUGGAAACAUCGAUGUGCCUCCCAACAUGACAAGCUGGGCCAGCUUCCACAAUGGCGUGGCUGCCGGCCUGAAGAUAGCCCCUGCCUCCCAGAUCGACUCAGCUUGGAUUGUUUACAAUAAGCCCAAGCACGCUGAGUUAGCCAAUGAGUAUGCUGGCUUUCUCAUGGCCCUGGGUCUGAAUGGGCACCUCACCAAGCUGGCUACUCUCAAUAUCCACGACUACUUGACCAAGGGUCAUGAAAUGACAAGCAUCGGACUGCUGCUUGGUGUUUCUGCGGCUAAACUAGGCACCAUGGAUAUGUCAAUUACACGGCUUCUCAGCAUUCACAUUCCUGCUCUCCUACCCCCGACGUCCACGGAGCUCGACGUGCCUCACAACGUCCAGGUGGCUGCAGUGGUUGGCAUCGGCCUCGUGUAUCAGGGGACAGCUCACAGGCACACUGCAGAAGUCUUGUUGGCCGAAAUAGGCAGGCCCCCUGGUCCUGAGAUGGAAUACUGCACUGACAGAGAGUCUUACUCUUUAGCUGCUGGCUUGGCCCUGGGCAUGGUUUGCUUGGGGCAUGGCAGUAAUCUGAUAGGGAUGUCCGAUCUCAACGUGCCUGAGCAGCUUUAUCAGUACAUGGUUGGAGGCCACAGGCGCUUUCAAGCAGGGAUGCACCGGGAGAAACAUAAAUCUCCAAGUUAUCAAAUCAAAGAAGGAGACACCAUAAAUGUGGACGUAACUUGUCCAGGUGCCACUCUGGCUUUGGCUAUGAUCUACUUGAAAACCAAUAACAGAUCCAUUGCAGAUUGGCUCCGAGCUCCUGACACCAUGUAUUUGCUGGACUUUGUGAAGCCAGAAUUUCUCUUGCUUAGGACACUUGCUCGAUGCCUGAUUUUGUGGGAUGAUAUUUUACCAAAUUCCAAGUGGGUCGAUAGCAACGUUCCUCAAAUUAUAAGAGAAAAUAGUAUCUCUCUCAGUGAAAUUGAAUUGCCUUGCUCAGAGGAUUUGAAUUUGGAAACUUUGUCGCAAGCACAUGUCUACAUAAUUGCAGGAGCUUGUUUGUCUCUGGGUUUUCGAUUUGCUGGCUCAGAAAACUUAUCAGCAUUUAACUGCUUGCAUAAAUUUGCAAAAGAUUUUAUGACUUAUUUGUCUGCGCCUAAUGCUUCUGUGACAGGUCCUUACAACCUGGAGACUUGCCUGAGUGUGGUGCUACUGUCUCUGGCCAUGGUGAUGGCCGGCUCGGGGAACCUAAAGGUUUUGCAGCUCUGUCGCUUCUUGCACAUGAAGACAGGUGGUGAAAUGAACUACGGUUUCCACCUAGCCCAUCACAUGGCCCUUGGACUUCUGUUUUUGGGAGGAGGAAGGUACUCGUUGAGCACAUCAAACUCUUCCAUUGCCGCCCUCCUCUGUGCCCUGUACCCGCACUUCCCAGCUCACAGCACUGACAACCGGUAUCAUCUCCAGGCUCUCCGGCACCUGUACGUGCUGGCUGCAGAACCAAGACUUCUGGUGCCUGUGGAUGUGGACACCAACACGCCCUGCUACGCCCUCUUAGAAGUCACCUAUAAGGGCACUCAGUGGUAUGAACAGACCAAAGAAGAGUUGAUGGCUCCUACCCUUCUUCCAGAACUCCACCUUUUAAAACAGAUUAAAGUUAAAGGCCCACGAUACUGGGAACUGCUCAUGGAUUUAAGCAAGGGGACACAGCACUUGAAGUCAAUUCUGUCCAAGGAUGGGGUUUUAUAUGUCAAGCUCAGAGCGGGUCAGCUCUCCUACAAGGAAGAUCCAAUGGGAUGGCAGAGUUUGUUGGCCCAGACCGUUGCCAACAGGAACUCCGAAGCUCGGGCUUUCAAGCCUGAAACGAUUUCAGCGUUCACUUCUGAUCCAGCACUUCUGUCGUUUGCUGAGUAUUUCUGCAAACCAACUGUGAACAUGGGUCAGAAACAGGAAAUUCUGGAUCUCUUUUCUUCAGUGCUGUAUGAAUGUGUGACUCAGGAGACCCCAGAGAUGUUGCCGGCAUACAUAGCGAUGGAUCAGGCUGUGAGAAGACUGGGAAGAAGAGAAAUGUCCGAGACGUCUGAACUCUGGCAGAUAAAGUUGGUGUUAGAGUUUUUCAGCUCCAGAAGCCACCAGGAGCGGCUGCAGAACCACCCGAAACGAGGGCUCUUUAUGAGCUCGGAGUUCCUCCCUGUUGUGAAGUGCACUGUUGACAACACUCUGGACCAGUGGCUGCAAGCUGGGGGUGACGUGUGUGUGCACGCCUACCUCAACGGGCAGCCCUGUGGGGAAGCGCAGCUGAGCAUGCUGGCCUGUUUCCUCGUCUACCACUCGGUGCCGGCUCCACGGCACCUGCCAUCUAUCGGCCUGGAAGGGAGCACGAGCUUUGCGGAACUCCUCUUCAAAUUUAAACAGCUGAAGAUGCCCGUGCGCGCUUUGCUGAGAUUGGCGCCUUUGCUUCUUGGAAAUCCACAGCCAAUGGUCAUGUGAUCAUGUCUGGUGGUAAGCCUACCCUGAAACAUGGCUUCUGCACAAAAGCGUGACCAAACAACAAAGCUAAAGGAACAUUUGACUUCAGUUCAGAGACAGCUUCCAAGGAGGUGGAAUUGGAGGUCAGGGGAGUGCUCUUCCGGGCAGCUGCAGGAACAAGACUCCACGUGAGCACGGACCUGGCCCCCGGGGAAGUCCCGAGUGCUUCCCUUUCAGCUCACCCCGAAGCCUGGACCCUGCCCCCUAGGACAGGAUGACAAGUAUUCCUCAGCAGUAACUGAUGCUCCGUGCAGGGCCACGGAAGCUGAGGGGUGCCUGAGGACACAUACCUGCCUUGACAUCCACCAGUCUCUUCCUCUUGUGGCCUCUUAUCCUCCUGGUUCUCAGCUUGGGGACAGCCUCUGGAGGCUCAGAACUGGAGGCCGGAGGGCUCCUAUUCCGAGGAGCUGCAGGGAGAGAGGACGGGCCCUGUGUGAUCAUGGGAGGAACCCACCUGGGAAGUACUGGGUUCUUCCCUUCUCAGUCACCUUGAGGACUUUGCACGUGACAUCUGAAGGGAUAAGAGAAGAAUGACCAUCACCCCCUUUGCACUUGUCUAUAAAGGAGGGUAGGAAUUGAGUUAAUAUUUACCUCUCUUUGCCAGGCACAAGCUGCUCUCCUGUGCCCCUUUCCAUGGAUUAAUCUGCCUGGGGGACGCCUCUGUGGAGACAGAUGUGAAAUUCUCUGGUCAUAGAUGUCUUUAAUAACUACAGGUGAACAAGAUAGUGACCUCCGGUCUCGCCCUGGACACCUUUUCCCCUGCCCUGCAGGCACACACUCAGGGGGGUCAAGGGAGGAAGUGAUGCUGGAGCCAUGAUGACCUGUCACCUUCAUUCAUUCAGAAACAUGACGGGUGAAUGGCCACACACACCUGCUUUCCCUGCCAUGCACUCCCUCUUCUGACUCUGUUCCUGUUGGCUUGGAGCCGUCUCUGAGCAGCUGGUGUGGAGCUCGGAGGAAUCCUGUCUUCUCUGGGUACAAAAAAAGGGGAAGGAAACCAACUUGAUUCUCACCAGGCCAUUUCUUUUUGCUUCAUCUGCUUCUUGUGAAACCCAGUAAGAAUUAAAAUGGCAAUAAUGGUA